UGCAGUCGAGCGGUAACAGGGGAGCUUGCUCCUGCUGACGAGCGGCGGACGGGUGAGUAACGCGUAGGAAUCUACCUAGUAGAGGGGGACAACAUGUGGAAACGCAUGCUAAUACCGCAUACGCCCUUAGGGGGAAAGGAGGGGACUCUUCGGAGCCUUCCGCUAUUAGAUGAGCCUGCGUAAGAUUAGCUAGUUGGUAGGGUAAAGGCCUACCAAGGCGACGAUCUUUAACUGGUCUGAGAGGAUGGCCAGUCACACUGGGACUGAGACACGGCCCAGACUCCUACGGGAGGCAGCAGUGGGGAAUAUUGGACAAUGGGCGGAAGCCUGAUCCAGCCAUGCCGCGUGUGUGAAGAAGGCCUUAGGGUUGUAAAGCACUUUCAGGGGUGAGGAAGGGUAACUGGCUAAUAUCCAGUUAUCUUGACGUUAGCCCCAGAAGAAGCACCGGCUAACUCUGUGCCAGCAGCCGCGGUAAUACAGAGGGUGCAAGCGUUAAUCGGAAUUACUGGGCGUAAAGCGCGCGUAGGUGGUUUGUUAAGUCGGAUGUGAAAUCCCAGGGCUC
RNAcentral lists this ribosomal RNA (562 nucleotides) under uncultured bacterium. RNAcentral's name for it is "bacterial SSU rRNA". It matches the Rfam family "Bacterial small subunit ribosomal RNA", at positions 56 to 610 of the family's 1533-position model. The record is from RNAcentral.